AAAUGCAGACAUAUGCCAUAUGUUAGAGCUGAUUCUGCUAGGUAUAUGUCUUUUGUUAACCAGUUUCUUCUCAUCCUUCCUAAUGUUGCUUGCUUGGCUGAAAAGGGUGCUCGUCCAAGUAGAGGAGGGGAGGAUAGUGUUCUCUCAAGGGCCUAUGAGGAUCUGUGUUCUUCUGUUGAAAUCCUCAAAUCAAUGCUAUUUAUAGGAGAACACAGGUAGUCUUGCUUAUUUAAUGUAUUUUAAGAUUAAAAAGCAAUAUUUUU
RNAcentral lists this small nuclear RNA (263 nucleotides) under Myotis davidii. Its description in RNAcentral is "7SK RNA". It matches the Rfam family "7SK RNA". Rfam says of the family: 7SK was discovered as an abundant small nuclear RNA in the mid-70s but a possible function has only recently been suggested. Two independent studies have found that 7SK RNA binds the CDK9/cyclin T complex (known as elongation factor P-TEFb). Lineage: Eukaryota; Metazoa; Chordata; Mammalia; Chiroptera; Vespertilionidae. The record is from Rfam by way of RNAcentral.